GCGUGUAGGAUGAAGGCCCUCGGGUCGUAAACUACUGUCAGGAGGGACGAAUGACUUGAGGCUAAUACCCUCGAGGGUUGACGGUACCUCCAAAGGAAGCGCCGGCUAACUCCGUGCCAGCAGCCGCGGUAAUACGGAGGGCGCAAGCGUUGUUCGGAAUUACUGGGCGUAAAGAGCGUGUAGGCGGUUUGGUCAGUCGGAUGUGAAAGCCCCGGGCUCAACUCGGGAAUUGCACCCGAAACUGCCAGGCUAGAGUCCCGGAGAGGAAGGCGGAACUCCCAGUGUAGGGGUGAAAUCCGU
This 300-nucleotide ribosomal RNA is filed under the name uncultured bacterium. RNAcentral describes it as "bacterial SSU rRNA". It matches the Rfam family "Bacterial small subunit ribosomal RNA", at positions 399 to 691 of the family's 1533-position model. The record is from RNAcentral.